Molecule: non-coding RNA, 1272 nt
Organism: Nerophis lumbriciformis (worm pipefish)
Lineage: Eukaryota; Metazoa; Chordata; Actinopteri; Syngnathiformes; Syngnathidae
Source: RefSeq, a predicted model, not a curated record
GCGGUGUCAGCUUCCUUCGGCCUUUCGCCAUCCUCUUUCCCCAGCGGUUGUUGGGCAACGUCCGCUGCGGCCGGGGGAUAACAUGUCGAAUAUAGAGGUCUACGAGCUGGUCGCGACUGCUGCAAUCUCUGCAGCUGACCUUUUUCUGGAGCACGAACAAGAAGAGCUCUCCUUUGACCUUACUCCUUGGCACUCUUCGCGACUUUGCAUGAACUUUACUGAGCACCACAGAGGGAACUCCUUGGGUUUGGCCUGUUAAUUCCGCCCGCUUUCAGCGUCAUCCCGCCGUUCUGAUGAUCCAAACAUGGAGAUUCCUGCUUUUCAGUGGACAGCGAGGCUAAAGUACAUUUGUGUUAGCGGUAGUGGAUCUUGAUGGUCCGGCCAAUGAGGAGGAAGAGCAGUCCGGCCAGCAGAGAGAAGAAGAUGCCAACGGGAGCAAACAUGAAGGAGAGGCCGUAGUUGAGGGUCAAGUGGAAGUUGGGACACACAAAGGUGCGCUGGUAGUCCACGUAGACGUCCACCACGUCCAGCAGCUCUAUCCACAGCACGUACAUCACCACCACGCACAGCAGGAAGAAACCUGGAGGGGAACGUGAAUGAUGGUCAUUGCAUCAUAUGGACAAGAAGAUCCUGUGACCCGGUCUUACCCGAUGCCAGGAAGAAGCCUCCACCCGUUUUGUACAAGCAGUGGUUGGUGAAGGGAGCGGCGCAGAUGACGAGGAAGCCGCCAAGGAUCACAGCUGCCACGCCGACGAGCAUGAAGAUGCUCCAAAAACCCCUGUAGACUGAGAAGCAUCCACCAUUGAUCCAUGGAAUCGUCGUUACCAUCACCAGGGUGAGCAGCAGCCCGUCCCGGAUGAUGAAAGGCGGACUACACCCUGCACUGGUCACCUGUCAAUCAACCACAGGUCGAAUGUGAACGGGCCAUAGAUUCCACUCAGGUAUGUGAGCCACUAUACUGGACACUACCAACACACUUUUUAGGAAAUGACGCAAUACUUUUGUAAUGUUUAUAAUACGUACACUUAGCAGUAUAAAACAUUGUAUUAAUAACAUUAUGUUCUUUUAUUUAAAAUAACGAGUUAUGAUGAAAUUAUUUGAAGUGUCUUAGAUAUAAAGCAUUGUUGUGUAAAAAGUGAUAAGUAAAACCGAGUUUUUGUUUUUAUUUAUGUUUGCAUUUAAGUAAUUAGAAUUUCUUACAUUGCUUUAUUUUUUGUGAUUUUUUUGUAAUGUUUUUAUUUUCUGCCCUGAAAUAAAAAAAUAUGCUUAGUU